UAAGCUCUUUAUAAAGUUUAGAUAUCAGCCU
This 31-nucleotide non-coding RNA is filed under the name Rattus norvegicus (Norway rat). Lineage: Eukaryota; Metazoa; Chordata; Mammalia; Rodentia; Muridae. The record is from RNAcentral.